GGUGGGGAAGGCAGUUUGUCCCCUUCUAUGGCAGGCUGGAGCCUUCUUUGGUGAGCAGAGACAAAGGCGACAAGUUCAGGAGGAUGGAGGAGGUGGUAAAAUCAGACCCUGGAUGUUCAGAUGUUCAGAGUUCACAUGUCACCUAAGAAACCCCAGCCAAGGGCCUGGCAUGAAUUUCUCAAGGCUCCUGGAACACCCUGGAUCAAGACCUGAGCUCAUACAAAACCAAAGCUCUAGCCUCCAAGGAGCCUUUGUAUUGUGGGGAAAUACCUGAGCUGAGAGUAGUGCAGAAGAACAUGAAAUACUCCAGCCCGUGAUGCUAAAAGGUGGCAGGACCAUGGACUACUUGCUCCAAGGAAGCUGUUGAUGUCCUGAAGGAUGAGAUUGUCAUAUCGCCUAGCUGAAGGAGCUGGCCUGGCUCUCCAUUCCUCUUUUUCUCUUCUUAUGUGAAGCUUUGUGUUCCACAUACUUGAGCUUUAGGAUUUUAUUGUAUUUCAUUUUUUAAGUCAAAGAAUACUGGGUGGGCCCCUUUGUGGUGGCAAAAGAAAACAAUCAGAAAAGAAUUUUUUAAAGUUCAUCUUUUACUCAGAACAAAUCACUGUAAAAUACCACACACCAAAUGUUUCCCCUUUUUGUUCCUUCUUUCUUCCUCUGACCCCUUUGCAUGAUUAUCUUAAAGCAAUAAAAUGGCAUUCAUUCA
Cricetulus griseus (Chinese hamster) is the source of this 700-nucleotide non-coding RNA. Lineage: Eukaryota; Metazoa; Chordata; Mammalia; Rodentia; Cricetidae. The record is from RefSeq and is a predicted model, not a curated record.